GUGGGGAAUAUUGGACAAUGGGCGCAAGCCUGAUCCAGCCAUGCCGCGUGAGUGAUGAAGGCCUUAGGGUUGUAAAGCUCUUUCGUCAGGGAAGAUAAUGACGGUACCUGAAGAAGAAGCCCCGGCUAACUUCGUGCCAGCAGCCGCGGUAAUACGAAGGGGGCUAGCGUUGCUCGGAAUCACUGGGCGUAAAGCGCACGUAGGCGGCUUUCUAAGUCAGGGGUGAAAUCCUGGAGCUCAACUCCAGAACUGCCUUUGAUACUGGAGAGCUUGAGUUCGGGAGAGGUGAGUGGAACUGCGAGUGUAGAGGUGAAAUUCGUAGAUAUUCGCAAGAACACCAGUGGCGAAGGCGGCUCACUGGCCCGAUACUGACGCUGAGGUGCGAAAGCGUGGGGAGCAAACAGGAUUAGAUACCCUAGUAGUCC
RNAcentral lists this ribosomal RNA (425 nucleotides) under uncultured bacterium. RNAcentral's name for it is "partial 16S ribosomal RNA". It matches the Rfam family "Bacterial small subunit ribosomal RNA", at positions 354 to 796 of the family's 1533-position model. The record is from RNAcentral.